CGUUUAUGGUGUACUGUUUUAAAAUUUAACAUCAAAUUAGAGUACUUUCCUUUAGUUUUUAGACCUAUGUUUUUGAAUCAGCAAUGUAGCUAUGAUUUUGUAAUAAAAACAGCAAAAGGGUGAGGGGGGGGGGGAAUGCGGCAAAUAGCGCCGUUAAAAUGAACAUCAUGGAAGUUUAUAAUAAGUAUCUAAAAUUACAUUUUGAAAUUCACCAUCUGAAAAAAGAUGCUUAUCAAAGUAUCAAGGAACAAUUUUUUCAAAAAAUGAAUGAUCUUAAAGGUCCACCUUGCAAUAACGAGAAUGUACCAAUGGACUACCAGUAUUUCUUUUUCAGACCUAAAGAUUUUUCAUUGGAAAAUGUUGCUUAUGAUGAAAAGGAAUCAUGUGUCAAUUUAUAACACAAAAAGAAGAGACGUUAUUCAAUGGACUGGGUGAUUUGAUGUGGAAAUACCCUCUAGAGUUUCGUUACUUUUUUCUCAACUGAUGACCUCAUCAAAAGAGCGGAUAAAAUAAAAGAAACGAUAAUGUUUUUGGAAAAUAUGGACUUGAAUGAAACAAAUGCUUUUUUAAAAAAUUUUGAAAGCAGUUUAUGUAAAAAUGGCGAACUGAACACUCCAAAAUUGAAAAAAAAAAGAAAAAAUUACCAAACUCAAACCAAGCUUAAUUAUUUAAGAGAAGAUGAGCUGCAGAUAUCUGAUUUAGUAAGUAGAAGAUAUGAUAAGUACGAUGAAAAAGUUUUGGAUGACUAACCUGAUUGCAUUUUUGGUUGUGUUAUAGAUUUUUAUUUAAUUUGAUUUUGUAUUAUAUAAUUUAUUGAAUAAAAAUAUUAAAUAUUUAGUAACUGUA
Molecule: non-coding RNA, 846 nt
Organism: Hydra vulgaris (swiftwater hydra)
Lineage: Eukaryota; Metazoa; Cnidaria; Hydrozoa; Anthoathecata; Hydridae
Source: RefSeq, a predicted model, not a curated record